Molecule: non-coding RNA, 149 nt
Organism: Pelobates cultripes (western spadefoot toad)
Lineage: Eukaryota; Metazoa; Chordata; Amphibia; Anura; Pelobatidae
Source: the annotation of a GenBank genome assembly
CACUUAAUCUAGGCAAAAGUAAUGGGGGUUUAGUUACAUUAUAUUAUCAUACAUUGCAUAAGCCUGCGACAACGUUAAUGUACCCCAUCUUUGCAAUGUAUGAUCAUAUAAUGUAACUAAACCCCCAUUACUUUUGCCUAGAUUAGGUG